CUGGUGUAGCGGUGGAAUGCGCAGAUAUCAGGAGGAACACCGGUGGCGAAGGCGGGUCUCUGGGCAGUAACUGACGCUGAGGAGCGAAAGCGUGGGGAGCGAACAGGAUUAGAUACCCUGGUAGUCCACGCCGUAAACGGUGGGUACUAGGUGUGGGUUUCCUUCCUUGGGAUCCGUGCCGUAGCUAACGCAUUAAGUACCCCGCCUGGGGAGUACGGCCGCAAGGCUAAAACUCAAAGAAAUUGACGGGGGCCCGCACAAGCGGCGGAGCAUGUGGAUUAAUUCGAUGCAACGCGAAGAACCUUACCUGGGUUUGACAUGCACAGGACGCCGGCAGAGAUGUCGGUUCCCUUGUGGCCUGUGUGCAGGUGGUGCAUGGCUGUCGUCAGCUCGUGUCGUGAGAUGUUGGGUUAAGUCCCGCAACGAGCGCAACCCUUGUCUCAUGUUGCCAGCACGUUAUGGUGGGGACUCGUGAGAGACUGCCGGGGUCAACUCGGAGGAAGGUGGGGAUGACGUCAAGUCAUCAUGCCCCUUAUGUCCAGGGCUUCACACAUGCUACAAUGGCCGGUACAAAGGGCUGCGAUGCCGUGAGGUGGAGCGAAUCCUUUCAAAGCCGGUCUCAGUUCGGAUCGGGGUCUGCAACUCGACCCCGUGAAGUCGGAGUCGCUAGUAAUCGCAGAUCAGCAACGCUGCGGUGAAUACGUUCCCGGGCCUUGUACACACCGCCCGUCACGUCAUGAAAGUCGGUAACACCCGAAGCCGGUGGCCUAACCCCUUGUGGGAG
Molecule: ribosomal RNA, 784 nt
Filed under: Mycolicibacterium gilvum
Lineage: Bacteria; Bacillati; Actinomycetota; Actinomycetes; Mycobacteriales; Mycobacteriaceae
Description: bacterial SSU rRNA
Rfam family: Bacterial small subunit ribosomal RNA
Source: RNAcentral